This 22-nucleotide microRNA is filed under the name Homo sapiens (human). RNAcentral describes it as "hsa-miR-4779". The record is from miRBase by way of RNAcentral. Lineage: Eukaryota; Metazoa; Chordata; Mammalia; Primates; Hominidae.
UAGGAGGGAAUAGUAAAAGCAG